Molecule: ribosomal RNA, 231 nt
Filed under: uncultured bacterium
Lineage: Bacteria
Description: partial 16S ribosomal RNA
Rfam family: Bacterial small subunit ribosomal RNA
Source: RNAcentral
CCUAGCCUUGGAGUGGGGAAUAACAGUUGGAAACAACUGCUAAUACCGCAUGAUGCAGUUGGGUCGCAUGGCUCUGACUGCCAAAGAUUUAUCGCUCUGAGAUGGACUCGCGUCUGAUUAGCUAGUUGGUGAGGUAACGGCUCACCAAGGCGACGAUCAGUAGCCGGACUGAGAGGUUGGCCGGCCACAUUGGGACUGAGACACGGCCCAGACUCCUACGGGAGGCAGCAG